RNAcentral lists this ribosomal RNA (407 nucleotides) under uncultured bacterium. RNAcentral describes it as "partial 16S ribosomal RNA". It matches the Rfam family "Bacterial small subunit ribosomal RNA", at positions 30 to 526 of the family's 1533-position model. The record is from RNAcentral.
AUUGAACGCUGGCGGCAGGCCUAACACAUGCAAGUCGAGCGGAGCGGCGGACGGGGGAGUAAUGCAUAGGAAUCUGCCUGGUAGUAGGGGAUAACGUCCGGAAACGGACGCUAAUACCGCAUACUAUCAGAUGAGCCUAGGUCGGAGUAGCUAGUUGGUGGGGUAAAGGCCGAUCAAGGCGACGAUCCGUAACUGGGCUGAGAGAAUGCUCAGUCACAGUGGAAGUGAGACACGGUCCAGAUUCCUACGGGAGGCAGAAGUGGGGAAUAUUGGACAAUGUGCGAAAGCCUGAUCCAGCCAUGCGGUGUGUGUGAAGAAGGUCUUCGGAUUGUAAAGCACUUUAAGUUGGGAGGCGUUACCAACAGAAUAAGCACCGGCUAACUUCGUGCCAGCAGCCGCGGUAAUAC